AUUGAACGCUGGCGGAAUGCUUUACACAUGCAAGUCGAACGGCAGCACGGACUUCGGUCUGGUGGCGAGUGGCGAACGGGUGAGUAACAUAUCGGAACGUAUCCAAUAAUGGGGGAUAACUAAUCGAAAGGUUGGCUAAUACCGCAUACGAUCUGCGGAUGAAAGCGGGGGGACCUUAGGGGCCUCGCGCGAUUGGAGCGGCCGAUGUCAGAUUAGGUAGUUGGUGGGGGUAAAGGCCCACCAAGCCAACGAUCUGUAGCUGGUCUGAGAGGACGACCAGCCACACUGGGACUGAGACACGGCCCAGACUCCUACGGGAGGCAGCAGUGGGGAAUUUUGGGCAAUGGGCGCAAGCCUGAUCCAGCAAUGCCGCGUGCAGGAAGAAAGGGCCUUCGGGUUGGUAAACUGCUUUGUACGGACGAAAAAGUCCGGGUUAAUAACCCUGGGCCCAUGACGGUACCGUAACGGAAUAAAGCACCGGCUAACUACGUG
Molecule: ribosomal RNA, 492 nt
Filed under: uncultured bacterium
Lineage: Bacteria
Description: bacterial SSU rRNA
Rfam family: Bacterial small subunit ribosomal RNA
Source: RNAcentral